Molecule: ribosomal RNA, 544 nt
Filed under: uncultured bacterium
Lineage: Bacteria
Description: partial 16S ribosomal RNA
Rfam family: Bacterial small subunit ribosomal RNA
Source: RNAcentral
UGGGGAAUUUUGGACAAUGGGCGAAAGCCUGAUCCAGCAAUGCCGCGUGUGUGAAGAAGGCCUUCGGGUUGUAAAGCACUUUUGUCCGGAAAGAAAUCCUUGGCUCUAAUACAGUCGGGGGAUGACGGUACCGGAAGAAUAAGCACCGGCUAACUACGUGCCAGCAGCCGCGGUAAUACGUAGGGUGCAAGCGUUAAUCGGAAUUACUGGGCGUAAAGCGUGCGCAGGCGGUUUGCUAAGACCGAUGUGAAAAUCCCCGGGCUCAACCUGGGAACUGCAUUGGUGACUGGCAGGCUAGAGUAUGGCAGAGGGGGGUAGAAUUCCACGUGUAGCAGUGAAAUGCGUAGAGAUGUGGAGGAAUACCGAUGGCGAAGGCAGCCCCCUGGGCCAAUACUGACGCUCAUGCACGAAAAGCGUGGGGGAGCAAACAGGAUUAGAUACCCUGGUAGUCCACGCCCUAAACGAUGUCAACUAGUUGUUGGGGAUUCAUUUCCUUAGUAACGUAGCUAACGCGUGAAGUUGACCGCCUGGGGAGUACGGUCGC